CCAUUCAUUCGGGUCAAAUUGUUCUCCUAUAUAAACACACAACCCGACAAUUUUGUUUCUCAAUUAGGGUUUCUCAAGCCUUUCUCCCUCUGCUCUCUAAGACUCUUCAUAGAUCUGCGUAUAAUCCAUCCGAUUCAAGGGUUUCAUAACAAUCGAUUUGUUUACAACUACAUCAAGGGUUUGUCGUCUUCCAGCACAGAUCUUCAAAGGUGAUCUAAUGCUUCAUUAACAAGAUGGCGAUGGAUGUAUUACCUGUACCAUUGCCACAAAGUUCUUCGCCAUGUCCAAUUUAUCUCGACAAGAUUUCAAACAGAGUUUGCUUUCCAUAUGCAAAAAUUGGUGCAAUUGUCCGUUCUAACUCGAACCUAUGGUGGGUUAUGUGUUGUGGUGCUUUUAUAUGGAAAUGACAUUGAUCAAGAAUGGGUUAUUAACAUUGUAAGAGAGUAUGAGGCAAUGAAGCAUCACAUGCUCUAAUGACUAAUCGAAAAGGUUAAUGGCAUGCAAGGAACUAAACAAUUUUUAUUGAAGAUGAUUAUAGUGAUGUUGACCGGUAUUCAUGCGUGAAAUCUACUCCCAUAAGCAGUGAGAAAUGCUUCAAUUUCCACUUUAGUUUUUCAUAGAAUAUAAUCUUUGUCAAUACCGCCAAAAAUGAAGAUUAUGUAAGUUUUUAAGGUAAGAUGCGUUGAGUUACAUAUAUAAAUUGCAUAAUAAUACAGUUCUGCUGCUCAUGUUUGAAAAAUGGGUGCAUCAUAUGUAGGGAUGAGCUCGGUACCAACAGGUAUCGAAAAUCCCCAAAAUGGGUACUGGUAUCCCCGGUUCGGUACCGGUAUACUCGGUUCAGUACCGGUAUUUGAGGGUAGAACUGGUAAAUACUGGUACCAAAAAACAUCGAAAGUCAGUACCGAAUAUAUUUCCGUUCAGGAAAUUCGGUACGUGUUCGAAACCGGUACCCUACCAUUUGCUCAUCCUACCAUAUGUAUAUAUUCCAACACGAGCCCAUCAACUUUAUAAGGGGUGGUGCACCUAUUUUUCCUCAUUGAGCUUACUUACAUAUAUGUUCUUUAUAUGAAUCCUUCUUGCUUCGUUUGAUACUUAAAUGGACUUCAUUAUUAUUUAUUAUUUAUGGCUAAUGCACUUCCUUUGUUAAAUGCAGUGUUGCUAAUUUGGUAAAAGACAUCUAUUUUAAGUUACAUAUGGAUGAUGAUAGAAUGUUACAUGUGACAUUAAUAGUUGGUUUCCAAAGACCUAACUAUUGAAGAUGGAUUUCCAAAAGCUCAAAGAAGAGGUCAUGUGAUGCAUGCUGUAUGGGGUGGCAAAGGUCAUUGUAUUUGCAUUUUGUUGGUCAAGGGUCGGAUUGCAGGUCACAUUAUGUUGGUGGCGAGUCAGAUUGCAAUCUAACGUGAGUUUAAAGCGGAAGAAUGCUUGAGCUUGAGAGAACUGUAUGCAAAAAAGAUUUCAGAUGUUAACGCAGGAAGGUCAACACAUACAUUACAGUUUCCUCAAUGCGAAACCAAUAGGCGUAAACUGGUUGACGUUAACGCCUACGACAAAGUGUUCAGUAUCAAUGAUAAUAUAACUAAUAAGAAGUUGAAGACCUCAGAACACAUUCAGAAUAAAGAGUGAAAUUUUCUAUUUCGAGUUUUUGAGCGUUAUUGGCGUCAUACGUUUGAAUUUAGUAUUUUUCCUUUUUUGAAUAAUUGUCUCUUGCUUUAAUUUCAAUAAUAUUGUUAUUUUA
Helianthus annuus (common sunflower) is the source of this 1735-nucleotide long non-coding RNA. RefSeq lists it as uncharacterized. Lineage: Eukaryota; Viridiplantae; Streptophyta; Magnoliopsida; Asterales; Asteraceae. The record is from RefSeq and is a predicted model, not a curated record. The transcript is spliced from 9 exons.